UAAGGAAUAUUGGUCAAUGGGCGCAAGCCUGAACCAGCCAUGCCGCGUGCAGGAAGACGGCCCUAUGGGUUGUAAACUGCUUUUGUCAGGGAAUAAACCCCCGCUCGUGAGCGGGGCUGAAGGUACCUGAAGAAUAAGCAUCGGCUAACUCCGUGCCAGCAGCCGCGGUAAUACGGAGGAUGCAAGCGUUAUCCGGAUUCGUUGGGUUUAAAGGGUGCGCAGGCGGAUUGGUAAGUCAGGGGUGAAAUCCCACAGCUCAACUGUGG
Molecule: ribosomal RNA, 266 nt
Filed under: uncultured bacterium
Lineage: Bacteria
Description: partial 16S ribosomal RNA
Rfam family: Bacterial small subunit ribosomal RNA
Source: RNAcentral